Molecule: ribosomal RNA, 918 nt
Filed under: Cortinarius ignellus
Lineage: Eukaryota; Fungi; Basidiomycota; Agaricomycetes; Agaricales; Cortinariaceae
Description: eukaryotic LSU rRNA
Rfam family: Eukaryotic large subunit ribosomal RNA
Source: RNAcentral
CUAGUAAGACUAACAGGAUUCCCCUAGUAACUGCGAGUGAAGCGGGAAAAGCUCAAAUUUAAAAUCUGGCGGUCUUUGGCUGUCCGAGUUGUAAUCUAGAGAAGUGUUAUCCGUGCUGGACCGUGUACAAGUCUCCUGGAAUGGAGCGUCAUAGAGGGUGAGAAUCCCGUCUUUGACACGGACUGCCAGGACUUUGUGAUGCGCUCUCGAAGAGUCGAGUUGUUUGGGAAUGCAGCUCAAAAUGGGUGGUAAAUUCCAUCUAAAGCUAAAUAUUGGCGAGAGACCGAUAGCGAACAAGUACCGUGAGGGAAAGAUGAAAAGAACUUUGGAAAGAGAGUUAAACAGUACGUGAAAUUGCUGAAAGGGAAACGCUUGAAGUCAGUCGCGUUGUCCAGGGAUCAACCUUGCUUUUGCUUGGUGCACUUUCUGGUUGACGGGUCAGCAUCAAUUUUGACUAUUGGAAAAAGAUUAGGGGAAUGUGGCAUCUUUGGAUGUGUUAUAGCCCUUGGUUGCAUACAAUGGUUGGGAUUGAGGAACUCAGCACGCCGCAAGGCCGGGUUUUAACCACGUACGUGCUUAGGAUGCUGGCAUAAUGGCUUUAAUCGACCCGUCUUGAAACACGGACCAAGGAGUCUAACAUGCCUGCGAGUGUUUGGGUGGAAAACUCGAGCGCGUAAUGAAAGUGAAAGUUGAGAUCCCUGUCGUGGGGAGCAUCGACGCCCGGACCAGACCUUUUGUGACGGUUCCGCGGUAGAGCAUGUAUGUUGGGACCCGAAAGAUGGUGAACUAUGCCUGAAUAGGGUGAAGCCAGAGGAAACUCUGGUGGAGGCUCGUAGCGAUUCUGACGUGCAAAUCGAUCGUCAAAUUUGGGUAUAGGGGCGAAAGACUAAUCGAACCAUCUAGUAGCUGGUCCUGCGA